AGGUCAUUAUGAGGGCAGUUCCUCAACAAGCCUUUGUAUCUUUCCCAUGCCUCAUUGAGUGACUCACCUCCUUGUUGUUCGAAGUUUGUAAUGGCUUUCUUCAACUU
Lactuca sativa (garden lettuce) is the source of this 107-nucleotide small nucleolar RNA. The record is from RefSeq and is a predicted model, not a curated record. NCBI's taxonomy places the organism in Eukaryota, Viridiplantae, Streptophyta, Magnoliopsida, Asterales, Asteraceae.